RNAcentral lists this ribosomal RNA (492 nucleotides) under uncultured bacterium. RNAcentral describes it as "partial 16S ribosomal RNA". It matches the Rfam family "Bacterial small subunit ribosomal RNA", at positions 29 to 507 of the family's 1533-position model. The record is from RNAcentral.
AGUGAACGCUGGCGGUAGGCCUAACACAUGCAAGUCGAACGGCAGCACAGUAAGAGCUUGCUCUUACGGGUGGCGAGUGGCGGACGGGUGAGGAAUACAUCGGAAUCUACUUUUUCGUGGGGGAUAACGUAGGGAAACUUACGCUAAUACCGCAUACGACCUACGGGUGGAAGCAGGGGAUCUUCGGACCUUGCGCGAUUGAAUGAGGCGAUGUCGGAUUAGCUAGUUGGCGGGGUAAAGGCCCACCAAGGCGACGAUCCGUAGCUGGUCUGAGAGGAUGAUCAGCCACACUGGAACUGAGACACGGUCCAGACUCCUACGGGAGGCAGCAGUGGGGAAUAUUGGACAAUGGGCGCAAGCCUGAUCCAGCCAUACCGCGUGGGUGAAGAAGGCCUUCGGGUUGUAAAGCCCUUUUGUUGGGAAAGAAAAGCAGCAGGUUAAUACCCCGCUGUUCUGACGGUACCCAAAGAAUAAGCACCGGCUAACUUCGUG